This 600-nucleotide ribosomal RNA is filed under the name Enterococcus faecium. Its description in RNAcentral is "bacterial SSU rRNA". It matches the Rfam family "Bacterial small subunit ribosomal RNA", at positions 38 to 613 of the family's 1533-position model. The record is from RNAcentral. Lineage: Bacteria; Bacillati; Bacillota; Bacilli; Lactobacillales; Enterococcaceae.
GGCUGCGCGUGCUAUACUGCAGUCGACGCUUCUUUUUCCCCGGAGCUUGCUCCACCGGAAAAAGAGGAGUGGCGAACGGGUGAGUAACACGUGGGUAACCUGCCCAUCAGAAGGGGAUAACACUUGGAAACAGGUGCUAAUACCGUAUAACAAUCGAAACCGCAUGGUUUUGAUUUGAAAGGCGCUUUCGGGUGUCGCUGAUGGAUGGACCCGCGGUGCAUUAGCUAGUUGGUGAGGUAACGGCUCACCAAGGCCACGAUGCAUAGCCGACCUGAGAGGGUGAUCGGCCACAUUGGGACUGAGACACGGCCCAAACUCCUACGGGAGGCAGCAGUAGGGAAUCUUCGGCAAUGGACGAAAGUCUGACCGAGCAACGCCGCGUGAGUGAAGAAGGUUUUCGGAUCGUAAAACUCUGUUGUUAGAGAAGAACAAGGAUGAGAGUAACUGUUCAUCCCUUGACGGUAUCUAACCAGAAAGCCACGGCUAACUACGUGCCAGCAGCCGCGGUAAUACGUAGGUGGCAAGCGUUGUCCGGAUUUAUUGGGCGUAAAGCGAGCGCAGGCGGUUUCUUAAGUCUGAUGUGAAAGCCCCCGGCUCAAC